This 460-nucleotide ribosomal RNA is filed under the name uncultured bacterium. RNAcentral describes it as "partial 16S ribosomal RNA". It matches the Rfam family "Bacterial small subunit ribosomal RNA", at positions 338 to 795 of the family's 1533-position model. The record is from RNAcentral.
CCUACGGGGGACAGCAGUGAGGAAUAUUGGUCAAUGGACGAGAGUCUGAACCAGCCAAGUAGCGUGAAGGAUGACUGCCCUAUGGGUUGUAAACUUCUUUUAUAUGGGAAUAAAAUGUUCCACGUGUGGGAUUUUGUAUGUACCAUAUGAAUAAGGAUCGGCUAACUCCGUGCCAGCAGCCGCGGUAAUACGGAGGAUCCGAGCGUUAUCCGGAUUUAUUGGGUUUAAAGGGAGCGUAGGUGGAUUGUUAAGUCAGUUGUGAAAGUUUGCGGCUCAACCGUAAAAUUGCAGUUGAAACUGGCAGUCUUGAGUACAGUAGAGGUGGGCGGAAUUCGUGGUGUAGCGGUGAAAUGCUUAGAUAUCACGAAGAACUCCGAUUGCGAAGGCAGUUCACUGGACUGCAACUGAUACUGAGGCUCGAAAGUGUGGGUAUCAAACAGGAUUAGAUACCCUAGUAGUC